GCAAGUCGAACGAGAAAGUUUCCUUCGGGGAAUGAGUAAAGUGGCGCAAGGGUGAGUAACACGUGAGUAAUCUGCCUUCGAAUCUGGGAUAACUUGACGAAAGUUAAGCUAAUACCGGAUAAGACCACGUUUCACAAGAAAUGCGGUCAAAGGGGUCUCAAACCCCGUUUGAAGAUGAGUUCGCGUACCAUUAGCUUGUUGGUGAGAUAACAGCUCACCAAGGCAACGAUGGUUAGCCGGCCUGAGAGGGUGAUCGGCCACACUGGAACUGAGACACGGUCCAGACUCCUACGGGAGGCAGCAGUGGGGAAUUUUGCGCAAUGGGCGAAAGCCUGACGCAGCAACGCCGCGUGAGCGAUGAAGGCCUUCGGGUCGUAAAGCUCUGUCAAGUGGGAAGAACACAAUGACGGUACCACUAGAGGAAGCCCCGGCUAACUUCGUGCCAGCAGCCGCGGUAAUACGAAGGGGGCAAGCGUUGUUCGGAAUUAUUGGGCGUAAAGCGUGUGUAGGUGGUUGUUCAAGUCAGACGUGUAAGCCCUCGGCUCAACCGAGGAAUUGCGUUUGAAACUGAUCGACUUGAGUACAGGAGAGGAAAGCGGAAUUCCCAGUGUAGCGGUGAUAUGCGUUGA
Molecule: ribosomal RNA, 629 nt
Filed under: uncultured bacterium
Lineage: Bacteria
Description: bacterial SSU rRNA
Rfam family: Bacterial small subunit ribosomal RNA
Source: RNAcentral